UACGGAGGAGUCAAGCGUUAUCCGGAAUUAUUGGGCGUAAAGCGUCCGUAGGUGGCACUUCAAGUCUGUCGUCAAAGACUGGGGCUUAACCCUGGAAAGGCGGUGGAAACUGAAGCGCUAGAGUGCGGUAGGGGUAGAGGGAAUUCCCGGUGUAGCGGUGAAAUGCGUAGAGAUCGGGAAGAACAUCGGUGGCGAAAGCGCUCUACUGGACCGCAACUGACACUCAGGGACGAAAGCUAGGGGAGCGAAUGGG
This 253-nucleotide ribosomal RNA is filed under the name uncultured bacterium. RNAcentral describes it as "partial 16S ribosomal RNA". It matches the Rfam family "Bacterial small subunit ribosomal RNA", at positions 524 to 776 of the family's 1533-position model. The record is from RNAcentral.